UAACGACUCUCGGCAACGGAUAUCUCGGCUCACGCAUCGAUGAAGAACGUAGCAAAAUGCGAUACUUGGUGUGAAUUGCAGAAUCCCGUGAACCAUCGAGUUUUUGAACGCAAGUUGCGCCCAAAGCCAUCCGGCUGAGGGCACGCCUGCCUGGGCGUCACGC
This 163-nucleotide ribosomal RNA is filed under the name Reichardia intermedia. RNAcentral's name for it is "5.8S ribosomal RNA". It matches the Rfam family "5.8S ribosomal RNA". Rfam says of the family: 5.8S ribosomal RNA (5.8S rRNA) is a component of the large subunit of the eukaryotic ribosome. It is transcribed by RNA polymerase I as part of the 45S precursor that also contains 18S and 28S rRNA. Functionally, it is thought that 5.8S rRNA may be involved in ribosome translocation. The record is from RNAcentral. Lineage: Eukaryota; Viridiplantae; Streptophyta; Magnoliopsida; Asterales; Asteraceae.